This 169-nucleotide ribosomal RNA is filed under the name Aeschynomene tambacoundensis. Its description in RNAcentral is "5.8S ribosomal RNA". It matches the Rfam family "5.8S ribosomal RNA". Rfam says of the family: 5.8S ribosomal RNA (5.8S rRNA) is a component of the large subunit of the eukaryotic ribosome. It is transcribed by RNA polymerase I as part of the 45S precursor that also contains 18S and 28S rRNA. Functionally, it is thought that 5.8S rRNA may be involved in ribosome translocation. Lineage: Eukaryota; Viridiplantae; Streptophyta; Magnoliopsida; Fabales; Fabaceae. The record is from RNAcentral.
GUCUAAAAUGACUCUCGGCAACGGAUAUCUCGGCUCUUGCAUCGAUGAAGAACGUAGCGAAAUGCGAUACUUGGUGUGAAUUGCAGAAUCCCGUGAACCAUCGAGUCUUUGAACGCAAGUUGCGCCUGAAGCCAUUAGGCUAAGGGCAUGCCUGCCUGGGUGUCACUAA